Molecule: ribosomal RNA, 451 nt
Filed under: uncultured bacterium
Lineage: Bacteria
Description: partial 16S ribosomal RNA
Rfam family: Bacterial small subunit ribosomal RNA
Source: RNAcentral
AACGAACGCUGGCGGCAGGCCUAACACAUGCAAGUCGAACGGGCGUAGCAAUACGUUAGUGGCGCACGGGAGAGUAACGCGUGGGAACCUACCUUUUGGUUCGGAAUAACGUCGGGAAACUGACGCUAAUACCGGAUAAGCCCUACGGGGGAAAGAUUUAUCGCCGAAAGAUGGGCCCGCGUUAGAUUAGCUAGUUGGUGAGGUAAUGGCUCACCAAGGCUACGAUCUAUAGCUGGUCUGAGAGGAUGACCAGCCUCACUGGGACUGAGACACGGCCCAGACUCCUACGGGAGGCAGCAGUGGGGAAUAUUGGACAAUGGGGGCAACCCUGAUCCAGCCAUGCCGCGUGAAUGAUGAAGGCCUUCGGGUUGUAAAGUUCUUUUGGUGGGGACGAUGAUGACGGUACCCACAGAAUAAGCUCCGGCUAACUUCGUGCCAGCCGCCGCCGUAA